Molecule: ribosomal RNA, 658 nt
Filed under: Staphylococcus aureus
Lineage: Bacteria; Bacillati; Bacillota; Bacilli; Caryophanales; Staphylococcaceae
Description: partial 23S ribosomal RNA
Rfam family: Bacterial large subunit ribosomal RNA
Source: RNAcentral
CGAACCUGGAGAUAGCUGGUUCUCUCCGAAAUAGCUUUAGGGCUAGCCUCAAGUGAUGAUUAUUGGAGGUAGAGCACUGUUUGGACGAGGGGCCCCUCUCGGGUUACCGAAUUCAGACAAACUCCGAAUGCCAAUUAAUUUAACUUGGGAGUCAGAACAUGGGUGAUAAGGUCCGUGUUCGAAAGGGAAACAGCCCAGACCACCAGCUAAGGUCCCAAAAUAUAUGUUAAGUGGAAAAGGAUGUGGCGUUGCCCAGACAACUAGGAUGUUGGCUUAGAAGCAGCCAUCAUUUAAAGAGUGCGUAAUAGCUCACUAGUCGAGUGACACUGCGCCGAAAAUGUACCGGGGCUAAACAUAUUACCGAAGCUGUGGAUUGUCCUUUGGACAAUGGUAGGAGAGCGUUCUAAGGGCGUUGAAGCAUGAUCGUAAGGACAUGUGGAGCGCUUAGAAGUGAGAAUGCCGGUGUGAGUAGCGAAAGACGGGUGAGAAUCCCGUCCACCGAUUGACUAAGGUUUCCAGAGGAAGGCUCGUCCGCUCUGGGUUAGUCGGGUCCUAAGCUGAGGCCGACAGGCGUAGGCGAUGGAUAACAGGUUGAUAUUCCUGUACCACCUAUAAUCGUUUUAAUCGAUGGGGGGACGCAGUAGGAUAGGCGAAGCGU